Molecule: ribosomal RNA, 482 nt
Filed under: uncultured bacterium
Lineage: Bacteria
Description: partial 16S ribosomal RNA
Rfam family: Bacterial small subunit ribosomal RNA
Source: RNAcentral
AUUGAACGCUGGCGGCAUGCCUUACACAUGCAAGUCGAACGGUAACAGGUCUUCGGAUGCUGGCGAGUGGCGAACGGGUGAGUAAUACAUCGGAACGUGCCCAGACGUGGGGGAUAACGAGGCGAAAGCUUUGCUAAUACCGCAUACGAUCUAAGGAUGAAAGCAGGGGACCGCAAGGACUCGCGCGUUUGGAGCGGCCGAUGGCAGAUUAGGUAGUUGGUGGGAUAAAAGCUUACCAAGCCGACGAUCUGUAGCUGGUCUGAGAGGACGACCAGCCACACUGGGACUGAGACACGGCCCAGACUCCUACGGGAGGCAGCAGUGGGGAAUUUUGGACAAUGGGCGAAAGCCUGAUCCAGCAAUGCCGCGUGCAGGAUGAAGGCCUUCGGGUUGUAAACUGCUUUUGUACGGAACGAAAAGGCUCUGGCUAAUACCUGGGGCACAUGACGGUACCGUAAGAAUAAGCACCGGCUAACUACGUG